CACAUAAGACCAGAAGACCCUGUGAAGCUUAUACUACCCUAUUAAACCUAAUAAUAGCUACUUUCGGUUGGGGCGACCUUGGAAAAAAAANGAACUUCCAAAUCAUGACCUUACCACCCCAGGCCUACAAGCCACAAACGACCCAUCAUAGCUGAUAAUUGAACCAAGUUACUCCAGGGAUAACAGCGCAAUCCUCUUCAAGAGCCCAUAUCAAAAAGAGGGUUUACGACCUCGAUGUUGGAUCAGGACAUCCUGAUGGUGCAGCCGCUAUUAAGGGUUCGUUUGUUCAACGAUUAACGUCCCACGUGAUCUG
RNAcentral lists this ribosomal RNA (313 nucleotides) under Philothamnus macrops. Its description in RNAcentral is "partial 16S ribosomal RNA". It matches the Rfam family "Bacterial large subunit ribosomal RNA", at positions 2076 to 2607 of the family's 2925-position model. Lineage: Eukaryota; Metazoa; Chordata; Lepidosauria; Squamata; Colubridae. The record is from RNAcentral.